Long non-coding RNA from Oncorhynchus tshawytscha (Chinook salmon), 776 nucleotides. The record is from Ensembl. NCBI's taxonomy places the organism in Eukaryota, Metazoa, Chordata, Actinopteri, Salmoniformes, Salmonidae.
ACGAGAUAGACAAGAACUAAGAGUGCCCCCCCCUACCCCCAACAAACGAAGCAUGGGGACAUGGAGUCUGUGCUUCUCUGUACGGGUUUGUGUGGAAACGUGAAGGGAACUCCCAUCGGCUGGGGGAAAAGAAACAGGGGCGACACAGAAACACUUGAAGGAGAGACGCCCAGGCAGAAAUGACUGAGAGCGGUCUCAACUGGUGUGUCCAUAACCGAGUAAGAUGGAGGACAUUCGUCAAUGGCCUAUGCUCCUGUCGUAGGAGCCAAGGGUUUAAGUAAAGUAAGAGCAUUUUGCCAUCAGAGGUGGUGUUGAAUUACUGAGUUGAAUCCAAUUUAAUUCCAGUCUUAUGAUAUGAAGCUCAUUUAAGUAAUGUAAAAAUCCUCCUAGAAAAUGACAGGUUAUUUUCCAUCCUAAUGCAUGUUACUUUAUGGGUGAGGAAAAUACUCUUCUCUGUUCUUCUGCCACCUACGGGGAGACUCUUGAAUUGUUAUAAAACUUACAGCACGGAUGAGUGUUUUUAGAACGCUAUAGAACGUUCAUGUUUGUAGUUUGUUAUCACAGCUUCUCUUAGAAUUAAAAAGAAAAUCAUUGUGAUAAUUGAAUAGUCAUGAAAUGCCUUUUGUGUUGUGUUGUAGAGCUGGACUAUGUGUCUUACUGUUCCACCAAGCAUAAUGAUGUGUGAAAGUGACUGUUUUAUGGAAGCUGUGAAUGCCAUUUUGAGUACUGCAAGCUUUGACCAUGUGGGCCCCCUAGCAAUUUGAGGUUUAGCCAAU